AGACCCGAAACCCGGUGAUCUAGCCAUGGGCAGGUUGAAGGUUGGGUAACACUAACUGGAGGACCGAACCGACUAAUGUUGAAAAAUUAGCGGAUGACCUGUGGCUGGGGGUGAAAGGCCAAUCAAACCGGGAGAUAGCUGGUUCUCCCCGAAAGCUAUUUAGGUAGCGCCUCGUGAAUUCAUCUCCGGGGGUAGAGCACUGUUUCGGCUAGGGGGCCAUCCCGGCUUACCAACCCGAUGCAAACUGCGAAUACCGGAGAAUGUUAUCACGGGAGACACACGGCGGGUGCUAACGUCCGUCGUGAAGAGGGAAACAACCCAGACCGCCAGCUAAGGUCCCAAAGUCAUGGUUAAGUGGGAAACGAUGUGGGAAGGCCCAGACAGCCAGGAUGUUGGCUUAGAAGCAGCCAUCAUUUAAAGAAAGCGUAAUAGCUCACUGGUCGAGUCGGCCUGCGCGGAAGAUGUAACGGGGCUAAACCAUGCACCGAAGCUGCGGCAGCGAACGUAUCACUUAAAGCGAUUCAGCGGAUGACGAUUGACGGAGCGAAGCGACGUCAAAGCGUAUACAAAGUCGAGUCGGUUUAAGGAUACGUUCGUUGGGUAGGGGAGCGUUCUGUAAGCCUGCGAAGGUGGCCUGUGAGGGUUGCUGGAGGUAUCAGAAGUGCGAAUGCUGACAUAAGUAACGAUAAAGCGGGUGAAAAGCCCGCUCGCCGGAAGACCAAGGGUUCCUGUCCAACGUUAAUCGGGGCAGGGUGAGUCGACCCCUAAGGCGAGGCCGAAAGGCGUAGUCGAUGGGAAACGGGUUAAUAUUCCCGUACUUGGUGUUACUGCGAAGGGGGGACGGAGAAGGCUAUGUUGGCCGGGCGACGGUUGUCCCGGUUUAAGCGUGUAGGUGUGUGUUCCAGGUAAAUCCGGUUCACUUUAACACUGAGGCGUGACGACGAGGCACUACGGUGCUGAAGCAACAAAUGCCCUGCUUCCAGGAAAAGCCUCUAAGCAUCAGGUAACAUCAAAUCGUACCCCAAACCGACACAGGUGGUCAGGUAGAGAAUACCAAGGCGCUUGAGAGAACUCGGGUGAAGGAACUAGGCAAAAUGGUGCCGUAACUUCGGGAGAAGGCACGCUGACAUGUAGGUGAAGUGAUUUACUCA
Molecule: ribosomal RNA, 1151 nt
Filed under: Salmonella enterica
Lineage: Bacteria; Pseudomonadati; Pseudomonadota; Gammaproteobacteria; Enterobacterales; Enterobacteriaceae
Also listed under: 1 other name
Description: partial 23S ribosomal RNA
Rfam family: Bacterial large subunit ribosomal RNA
Source: RNAcentral